AGUGAACGCUGGCGGUAGGCCUAACACAUGCAAGUCGAACGGCAGCACAGUAAGAGCUUGCUCUUACGGGUGGCGAGUGGCGGACGGGUGAGGAAUACAUCGGAAUCUACUUUUUCGUGGGGGAUAACGUAGGGAAACUUACGCUAAUACCGCAUACGACCUACGGGUGAAAGCAGGGGAUCUUCGGACCUUGCGCGAUUGAAUGAGCCGAUGUCGGAUUAGCUAGUUGGCGGGGUAAAGGCCCACCAAGGCGACGAUCCGUAGCUGGUCUGACAGGAUGAUCAGCCACACUGGAACUGAGACACGGUCCAGACUCCUACGGGAGGCAGCAGUGGGGAAUAUUAGACAAUGGGCGCAAGCCUGAUCCAGCCAUACCGCGUGGGUGAAGAAGGCCUUCGGGUUGUAAAGCCCUUUUGUUGGGAAAGAAAAGCAGCAGGUUAAUACCCCGCUGUUCUGACGGUACCCAAAGAAUAAGCACCGGCUAACUUCGUG
RNAcentral lists this ribosomal RNA (492 nucleotides) under uncultured bacterium. Its description in RNAcentral is "partial 16S ribosomal RNA". It matches the Rfam family "Bacterial small subunit ribosomal RNA", at positions 29 to 507 of the family's 1533-position model. The record is from RNAcentral.